GACGAACGCUGGCGGCGUGCUUAACACAUGCAAGUCGAACGGCAAGGCCCUGCUUUUGUGGGGUUCUCGAGUGGCGAACGGGUGAGUAACACGUGAGUAACCUGCCCUUGACUUUGGGAUAACUUCAGGAAACUGGGGCUAAUACCGUAUAGCAUCUCCUGCUGCAUGGUGGGGGUUGGAACGUUUCGGCGGUAGGGGAUGGAUUCGCGGCUUACGAGCUUGUUGGUGGGGUAGUGGCUUACCAAGGCUUUGACGGGUAGCCGGCAUGUGAGGGUGAACGGGGACAAUAGUACUGAGAGACGGAGCAGAGUCGUAUGUGAGGCAGCAGGGGGGAACAUGACACAAUGAGAGGAAGUCGGAUGAGAAAACGCCGCGGGCGGGAUGACGGCCUUCGGGGUAUAAAAAGCUGUAGCCUGUGACGAAGCGUGAGUGACGGUAAUGGGUAAAGAAGCACCGGCUAACUACGUG
Molecule: ribosomal RNA, 468 nt
Filed under: uncultured bacterium
Lineage: Bacteria
Description: partial 16S ribosomal RNA
Rfam family: Bacterial small subunit ribosomal RNA
Source: RNAcentral